This 461-nucleotide ribosomal RNA is filed under the name uncultured bacterium. RNAcentral's name for it is "partial 16S ribosomal RNA". It matches the Rfam family "Bacterial small subunit ribosomal RNA", at positions 29 to 507 of the family's 1533-position model. The record is from RNAcentral.
ACGAACGCUGGCGGCGUGCUUAACACAUGCAAGUCGAGCGGAAAGGCCCUUCGGGGUACUCGAGCGGCGAACGGGUGAGUACCACGUGAGUAACCUGCCCCAGACUUUGGGAUAACCCUCGGAAACGGGGGCUAAUACCGGAUACGACACAGCUUCGCAUGGGGUCUGUGUGGAAAGUUUUUCGGUUUGGGAUGGGCUCGCGGCCUAUCAGCUUGUUGGUGGGGUGAUGGCCUACCAAGGCGACGACGGGUAGCCGGCCUGAGAGGGCGACCGGCCACACUGGGACUGAGACACGGCCCAGACUCCUACGGGAGGCAGCAGUGGGGAAUAUUGCACAAUGGGCGGAAGCCUGAUGCAGCGACGCCGCGUGAGGGAUGACGGCCUUCGGGUUGUAAACCUCUUUCAGCAGGGACGAAGCGUAAGUGACGGUACCUGCAGAAGAAGCGCCGGCCAACUACGUG